AUUGAACGCUGGCGGCAUGCUUUACACAUGCAAGUCGAACGAGUGGCGGACGGGUGAGUAAUAUAUCGGCACCUUCCCCUUCGCGGGGGAUCACUACUUGAAACCGUUGCUAAUACCGCAAUCUAUCGGAGGAGCCUCUAUCGGAUUGGCUAGGUGGUGGGGUAAAGGCUCACAAAGGCAACGAUCCGUAGCUGGUUUGAGAGUAUGACCAGCCACACUGGGACGGAGACACGGCCCGAACUCCUACGGGGGGAGGAAGUGGGGAAUUUUGGACAUGGGGGGAAAGCCGGAGCGAGCCAUCCCGCGGGUAUAAGAGGGCCUUCGGUUGGAAAGUUACUUUAGGCGGAGAGGCGGUAUCGGAAGAAUAAGCACCGGCUAACUACGUGCCAGCAGCCGCGGUAAUUC
This 405-nucleotide ribosomal RNA is filed under the name uncultured bacterium. RNAcentral describes it as "partial 16S ribosomal RNA". It matches the Rfam family "Bacterial small subunit ribosomal RNA", at positions 30 to 526 of the family's 1533-position model. The record is from RNAcentral.